GACGAACGCUGGCGGCGUGCUUAACACAUGCAAGUCGAACGGAAAGGCCCUGCUUUUGUUGGGUGCUCGAGUGGCGAACGGGUGAGUAACACGUGAGUAACCUGCCCUUGACUUUGGGAUAACUUCAGGAAACUGGGGCUAAUACCGGAUAGGAGCUCCUGCUGCAUGGUGGUGGUUGGAAAGUUUCGGCGGUUGGGGAUGGACUCGCGGCUUAUCAGCUUGUUGGUGGGGUAGUGGCUUACCAAGGCUUUGACGGGUAGCCGGCCUGAGAGGGUGACCGGGCACAUUGGGACUGAGAGACGGCCCAGAAUCCUACGGGAGGCAGCAGUGGGGAAUAUUGCACAAUGGGCGGAAGCCUGAUGCAGCAGCGCCGCGUGCGGGAUGACGGCCUUCGGGUUGUAAACCGCUUUCGCCGGUGACGAAGCGUGAGUGACGGUAAUGGGUAAAGAAGCACCGGCUAACUACGUG
This 468-nucleotide ribosomal RNA is filed under the name uncultured bacterium. RNAcentral's name for it is "partial 16S ribosomal RNA". It matches the Rfam family "Bacterial small subunit ribosomal RNA", at positions 28 to 507 of the family's 1533-position model. The record is from RNAcentral.